GUGGCUCACGUUUGAACACUGUCAGCACCAGCAGAAUUGCGUUGUCUAGACCAGCUGGACUCAGUGUCAGAGCCGAACAAGGGUCUUUUGACACCGAAACUAGCCGAAGAGCCGUUCUCAGUCAUGUUGCUGCUGGCCUAGCUGGAACCUUUGCUAAUGCAGCUUUUGCUGAAGCCAGAUCAAUCAAGGGUGUACCCCCUCCUCCUCUCUUCGGUGGAUUGCGUCCCCUGAAAAAUGCAAUUGAUUGGAGAUCUCUAUCUCCAAAUGUUUGGGGGUGAUAAAGCAGCAGCAAUCGUGAGUACUGGAUAUGAUUUUGGUGGAGGACGAUCACAAUAUCACCUUCGACAGAUGGGAGUCAGACUCGAUAUUCAUUUCAUUAACAAACCUUAAUUUUUUCCUCAAUGUAUUAGACCCACCACCAAUGUUUGAUGAUAAGGGCAAUCUGAUAGAUGAAGAAACCAAGAAGAGGCUCAAAGAAAUUCUUUUGGCUUUACAGGCAUUUGCCGUGAGACUCGGCGGCAAUUGCAAAUAGCUUCUUUCAAUCAAUGUGUGAAUUGAUCCCCUUCAACAUUUCCCUUUCAUAGGGAAAAAUAUAUCUAUAUCUAUAUAUCUAGAUAUAUAGAUAUAGAUAUAUUUUUCCCUAUGAAAGGGAAAUGUUGAAGGGGAUCAAUUCACACAUUGCUUCUAAUAAGACUUCCGUAACAUUUGGUCAGUUGAUUGGUCAUGUUAGCUAGUUUCAUGGCGAUUGGCCAUUGAUGUUAUAUCGAUGAAUAAAAUUUGUCUUGAAUAUAAGCUAUUUUAAGUUAAGUUAUUAUCAAACUUAAGUUUUCUCUCGAA
This is an RNA transcript of Capsicum annuum, 837 nucleotides long. RefSeq lists it as uncharacterized. The transcript is spliced from 2 exons. The record is from RefSeq and is a predicted model, not a curated record. Lineage: Eukaryota; Viridiplantae; Streptophyta; Magnoliopsida; Solanales; Solanaceae.